UAAGCCUGAAAGCUAGGUUUCAGUCGUGAGCCAUGUGGAACACGUCUGCAUCGAAAUGGGAGCCGGGUCCUGCUGCGACUGGGGACAGCAAUACCGUAAUGAGGAUGGCACCAGUAUAAAGCAACACACUCCAUGCACUAAACAGAAGCUGCUGCCUGCUACAACAAGGUCAUUGUGUGGACUUUGGCUGCUACUACAAGAGUCUGUGCCAAGUACAUCUUGGUCAUCACGGGAGCCCCCAUCUACACCAACAGGAAGGGGCUGGAGCUGAAUUCACAAGACCACGAACAAAGAAGCCAUUCCAGAAUUAUUUGGAUGAGAUAUCAAGUCUACGGACGACUGUUUCAAGAGUGAAAAGAGCCUACGCCAUCAUUCCACCAGCACGGAUAUUGGCCGAGUCAUCCAGGUACCUCAACAACAAAAAUUAUUUGUCUUCAGAUGUACCUGCAACCUCUGAACAAGCACAGACGACGCUGGCUAAGAGUGUUCUGUCAGCUUGCCCUUCCUUAGGGAGCUCCCUGGCCUUGCCAAUUCUUGCCAAGCAUAAUUUUGUUUCAAUGAAUGCACGCUUCUUCAUUCCACACUUUUGUUAGAGAUCAUUCCUAUUCCUCAUACAAACAUUAAAGGUCAACCGAUUCUUUGCUCAUACUUAAUGCCAGUCACUGUCUAGUAGCAUAACAUAUGUGUAGCAGUUCUUUCUAGUGUAUGUUGCCAUGUGCAAUUCCUCUCCUGAAAUAGCUGAUGCGGCAUUGGCAUAUGUCUUGCAUUAACCUUUACACUGUGUGCUAUGUAGCAUUUAACUUUUGUUAAUGUUUUUGGCUUUCAAUGCUUGCAAGGUAGAGUGGCUUCUUUCUUGAAUGCAAGCUUUCUCAUUCCCAUAUUGAAUUCCUAGUCUCAUUCAGGAUUGCUAUUCUUGCUCGACAGCCUGUGUUUUUGUGCAAGCUACAUUGAAGAGAUUGAUUGCAGAAUAUGGUUUCGGCGCUGUGCGACUUGGUACUUGUCACCGUGUUACGUUUCUCAUAUGUGGGAGCCUGGUCAGUUGCAUUGGGAAACAGUCUCUCGAGGCAAGCACCUGCUCCUACAGUCUGCACAGUGACAUAUACUGCGAAUUUACACGCACCGUGGUUGGUGCUCCCCGUUCCGUCCUUUCCUGCUGCUGCCGUGUGCAAAUUUUGCUUGUGGCCUUCCUCAGCCAUGAUUUGGCGUCAACGGAGACUCUCAUACAUAAUUACAUGGUUCUAAGUGUAUGAAGUUGAUAUCCACAUUUGUGGAAAGGCCUGCAAAAUAGUUAUGUCCACAAAACCGACCAUGUCCAUAUAUGGAGAAUGUGGCGGACCAAGUGUG
This is a non-coding RNA of Dermacentor albipictus, 1344 nucleotides long. The record is from RefSeq and is a predicted model, not a curated record. Lineage: Eukaryota; Metazoa; Arthropoda; Arachnida; Ixodida; Ixodidae.